CCCAGUAGCUGAGUGGAUAACGCGAUGGCAUUUGAAGCCAAUGGUACUGGAUUCGAGUCCCAGAGUG
RNAcentral lists this transfer RNA (67 nucleotides) under Schistosoma mansoni. The record is from RNAcentral. Lineage: Eukaryota; Metazoa; Platyhelminthes; Trematoda; Strigeidida; Schistosomatidae.